GGGCCCGCACAAGCAGAGGAGCAUGUGGCUCAAUUCGAUGCAACGCGAAGAACCUUACCCGGGCUUGACAUGCAGGUGCACGGCCGGCGAAAGCCGGCCUCCUUCGAGGGUCCUGCACAGGUGCUGCAUGGCUGUCGUCAGUUCGUGCCGUGAGGUGUUUGGUUAAGUCCAGCAACGAACGCAACCCCUGUGUCCAGUUGCCAGCGGGCAAUGCCGGGAACUCUGGACAGACCGCCCGUUUACGCGGGAGGAAGGUGGGGACGACGUCAAGUCAGUAUGGCCCUUACGCCCGGGGCCGCACACGUGCUACAAUGGCCGGCACAGAGGGACGCCACGCCGCGAGGCGGAGCGGAUCCCCGAAAGCCGGCCCCAGUUCGGAUUGGGGUCUGCAACCCGACCCCAUGAAGCCGGAUUUGCUAGUAACGGCGCAUCAGCUACGGCGCCGUGAAUACGUUCCCGGGCCUU
Molecule: ribosomal RNA, 465 nt
Filed under: uncultured bacterium
Lineage: Bacteria
Description: bacterial SSU rRNA
Rfam family: Bacterial small subunit ribosomal RNA
Source: RNAcentral